UACAGAGGUCUCAAGCGUUGUUCGGAUUCAUUGGGCGUAAAGGGUGCGUAGGUGGCGCUGUAAGUCGGGGGUGAAAUUUCGGAGCUUAACUCCGAAACUGCAUUCGAUACUGCGGUGCUUGAGGACUGGAGAGGAGACUGGAAUUCAUGGUGUAGCAGUGAAAUGCGUAGUGAUCAUGAGGAAGACCAGUGGCGAAGGCGGGUCUCUGGACAGUUCCUGACACUGAGGCACGAAGGCCAGGGGAGCAAACGGG
Molecule: ribosomal RNA, 253 nt
Filed under: uncultured bacterium
Lineage: Bacteria
Description: partial 16S ribosomal RNA
Rfam family: Bacterial small subunit ribosomal RNA
Source: RNAcentral